AAUGAACGCUGGCGGCAUGCCUAAUACAUGCAAGUCGAGCGAACAGACGAGGAGCUUGCUCCUCUGACGUUAGCGGCGGACGGGUGAGUAACACGUGGUUAACCUACCUAUAAGACUGGGAUGACUUCGGGAAACCGUGGCUACUACCGGAUAAUAUAUUGAACCGCAUGGUUCAAGAGUGAAAUACGGCUUUUCUUUCACUUAUAGAUUAAUCCGCCCACCAUUAGCUAGUUGGUAAGGUAACGGCUUACCAAGGCAACGAUGCGUAGCCGACCUGAGCGGGUGAUCGGCUAGACUGGAACUGAGACACGGUCCAGACUCCUACGGGAGGCAGCAGUAGGGACUCUUCCGGAAUGGGCGAAAGCCUGACGGAGCAACGCCGCGUGAGUGAUGAAGGUCUUCGGAUGGGAAAACUCUGUUAUUCGGGAAGAACAAAUGUGUAAGUACCUAUGCUCGUCUUGACGGUACCGAAUCAGAAAGCCACGGCUAACUACGUG
Molecule: ribosomal RNA, 497 nt
Filed under: uncultured bacterium
Lineage: Bacteria
Description: partial 16S ribosomal RNA
Rfam family: Bacterial small subunit ribosomal RNA
Source: RNAcentral